AUUGAACGCUGGCGGCAUGCUUUACACAUGCAAGUCGAACGGCAGCGCGGGCUUCGGCCUGGCGGCGAGUGGCGAACGGGUGAGUAAUGCAUCGGAACGUGCCCAGUAGUGGGGGAUAGCCCGGCGGAAGCCGGAUUAAUACCGCAUACGACCUGAGGGUGAAAGCGGGGGACCGAAAGGCCUCGCGCUAUUGGAGCGGCCGAUGUCGGAUUAGCUAGUUGGUGGGGUAAAGGCUUACCAAGGCGACGAUCCGUAGCUGGUCUGAGAGGACGACCAGCCACACUGGGACUGAGACACGGCCCAGACUCCUACGGGAGGCAGCAGUGGGGAAUUUUGGACAAUGGGGGCAACCCUGAUCCAGCCAUGCCGCGUGCGGGAAGAAGGCCUUCGGGUUGUAAACCGCUUUUGUUCGGGAAGAAAUCCUCUGGGCUAAUACCCCGGGGGGAUGACGGUACCGGAAGAAUAAGCACCGGCUAACUACGUG
RNAcentral lists this ribosomal RNA (484 nucleotides) under uncultured bacterium. RNAcentral's name for it is "partial 16S ribosomal RNA". It matches the Rfam family "Bacterial small subunit ribosomal RNA", at positions 28 to 507 of the family's 1533-position model. The record is from RNAcentral.